This 2103-nucleotide long non-coding RNA is filed under the name Citrus maxima (pomelo). RNAcentral's name for it is "long non-coding RNA (CMAX_LNC000436)". Lineage: Eukaryota; Viridiplantae; Streptophyta; Magnoliopsida; Sapindales; Rutaceae. The record is from RNAcentral.
ACUUUCCUCAGGCAGGCUUUCACUUUCCUCUCUCUCCAGCCAGAGUUCCAUACUCCACAGAACGGCAGUUUGAGUCUCUAAACAGCAUCCAAUCAGCUUUAAAAUAUGCUUGUGACUCAUUUGUGAUGUAUAUGCGAUGUCGUUAAUCGAAGUAUUGUAAAACUUCAUAGCAGAAAUAUUUUGCUCAAUUCCUAUAUACGUACUAUAUUUAUAUAUGUAGCCUCUACUACUGUUGAUUUAUUCCAAAAUGAUUCCUUAUCUUCCUUCUCCGAAUACCAAAUUGCUCUAACACACUCAGGAUCAUCUAAACUUCUACAAACCCAAAAAAUGACUUCACUUUAUUUAAUAAUGAAAUCAAGGAUUAACUUUAUUUAACAAUGAAAUUUUUAAGAACAUGAAAGGAAAUAUAACAAAAGGGAGUUUGGAGAUGUCACAGGUGCCUCUGGAUGCGCAGAUCUGGAAUGCAGAUAAACAAAAACAGGGGAACUCUGUACUUGGGCCCCUGCAGCAGAGUGAAUAAAACAAGAAAUGAUGUUUCUUCUUUCUGAGUAUGGAAGUGAUUUUGCCCAUAAAAUAUUUAAUUUGGUCUACAAUUCAAAGUCGUAAAAAUAGAAGUUAAGACAAUUGAUGCUUUAGGGAUUUGCGUGAGAGAGGAGCGUGAGGAGGGAGAGAGGAAAGUAGGCUGGAGAUAAGGUAGAUAAGGUUGGAUUUCCUUAUGCAGGCACCCAUUUCUUUAUGAAUUCUUUAUUCAUUCUUUUUUAUUUUUUUAAUGUAUUAACAAGCGAGAGGAAGGAGACGCGAAACAGCAGCAACUGCUGCCGUUUCUCUUGUCAUUUUCUCGUUCCUCUCGCUCCCUAGCAUUUUCCAAUUGGGAAAGAGUAAGUGACGUCUACUGUACUCUAGUGAACGAGUGUUAUGGACGACUUGGCGUGAGCCAAUAAAGCUUUCGUCAUGGCUUGAAUCAUUUAAAAUUUAAAUCCUUGCUGUUUGUUCUUUUUUUAAACUAAGCUGAAACAGGUACUUGUUCGGUCAAUUCAACUAUCACGGGAUUAAUAUGCUUGUACUUUUCGUAGGAUCAAUUCAAAAAAAUCAUAACUUGUUCUUCAAUGUAUCAUGCAUGCACAUACAUAUACAAGUAAUAUAUAUACGUGUCUUCUUCAAAACUUAAUAAUUAAAAGGGAUAUUAUCAUUUUCCCACCAAAGGUAUUCUGACACAUCAUGUCAGUACCACGGUUUGGUAAAACUAUCAAUUUACCACCAAACGUUUAAACUGUUAGCAUUUUCCCACCAUUCCGUUAAAACUCCGUUAAUAUGUAACAGAAAAUUCAUAAAAGGUCAAUUUUACCCCUGAAGUGUAAAAGACCAUGUAAUUAACCUUUUAUGAAUUUUGUAAUUAAAUUAUCAUUUGUUGUUCUUCCUUCUUAAAGGACAAAAAUUACCCCUUAUAAAUUUUAUAAAAUUGACCGUGUGGUGCUAGGUACUUUUAUAAAUUGAUUUAAUUUAUUUAAUUUUUAAAGGUCAAAUUUAUUUAUUAAAUUGCCGAGCUAAAGACAAUUUAUUCUACUACUAAACAUCAAUUUAUGAAAGGGAAAAAAAAAAGAAUGUGCAAAAGAAGCAAUUUAAUCUUUGAUAUGAUGAUAAUAAUUUUACACAAAAAAUUAAAUAAAUAAAUUUGCCCUUUAAAAAUUAAAUCAAUUUAUGAAGUACCUAAUACCACAUGCUUGUGACUCAUUUGUGAUGUAUAUGCGAUGUCGUUAAUCGAAGUAUUGUAAAACUUCAUAGCAGAAAUAUUUUGCUCAAUUCCUAUAUACGUACUAUAUUUAUAUAUGUAGCCUCUACUACUGUUGAUUUAUUCCAAAAUGAUUCCUUAUCUUCCUUCUCCGAAUACCAAAUUGCUCUAACACACUCAGGAUCAUCUAAACUUCUACAAACCCAAAAAAUGACUUCACUUUAUUUAAUAAUGAAAUCAAGGAUUAACUUUAUUUAACAAUGAAAUUUUUAAGAACAUGAAAGGAAAUAUAACAAAAGGGAGUUUGGAGAUGUCACAGGUGCCUCUGGAUGCGCAGAUCUGGAAUGCAGAUAAACAAAAACAGGGGAACUCUG